RNAcentral lists this transfer RNA (68 nucleotides) under Lucinella divaricata. RNAcentral describes it as "tRNA-Ile". Lineage: Eukaryota; Metazoa; Mollusca; Bivalvia; Lucinida; Lucinidae. The record is from RNAcentral.
GUGUUGUGCCAGAUGAAUUGGGUUACUUUGAUGUAGUAAAAUAUAGGGAGUUUAUCCUUCAACACAAC